Molecule: ribosomal RNA, 466 nt
Filed under: uncultured Bdellovibrio sp.
Lineage: Bacteria; Pseudomonadati; Bdellovibrionota; Bdellovibrionia; Bdellovibrionales; Pseudobdellovibrionaceae
Description: bacterial SSU rRNA
Rfam family: Bacterial small subunit ribosomal RNA
Source: RNAcentral
AACAAACGCUGGCGGCGUGCCUAAUACAUGCAAGUCGAACGAGGAAAGUUCCUUCGGGAACCGGUACUAGUGGCGCACGGGUGAGUAACGCGUAGAUAAUCUGCCCUUUAGCGGGGAACAACCAACCGAAAGGUUAGCUAAUACCGCAUAAGACCACAGUCCUUGCGGGGACAGGGGUUAAAGGCUUCGGCCACUAAAGGAUGAGUCUGCGUACGAUUAGCUUGUUGGUGGGGUAAUGGCCUACCAAGGCUUCGAUCGUUAACUGGUCUGAGAGGAUGAUCAGUCACACUGGAACUGAGACACGGUCCAGACUCCUACGGGAGGCAGCAGUAGGGAAUAUUGCGCAAUGGAGGAAACUCUGACGCAGCGACGCCGCGUGAGUGAUGAAGGCCUUCGGGUUGUAAAGCUCUGUUCUUGGGGAAGAAAAAAAUGACGGUACCCAAGGAGAAAGGACCGGCUAACUUCG